AUGCACCUUGAUGAUACCUUUUGCCCUAACUGUAAUCAGCAAGCAGAAGAAACUCCUAUGCAUUUAUUGUGGGAUUGCAGUUUUGCGCAAGACUGCUGGAACUCUCUGAUUCCAAACAGACAAAGAGGAACUUCUGUUUAUGAGGACACCAUCUUGGCCACGCAGCUCCUUCCAAAACAAUUUGCUGUCGAAAUCCUUAUUUUGGGUUGUUGGAACAUUUGGAUUCAGCGAAAUAACUUUGUGUUCAGAGCACUUCCUCAUUCAAUUCAGUCUUGGAGAUACCACCUCAAGAAUGAUCUUAAGCUACUUCGACAUAAGAUCAAGCAAAAGUUUGCAGUUCGCUUUUCACAGUGGAUAGAUCAUAAUCUGUAA
Molecule: ribosomal RNA, 372 nt
Filed under: Triticum aestivum (bread wheat)
Lineage: Eukaryota; Viridiplantae; Streptophyta; Magnoliopsida; Poales; Poaceae
Description: partial small subunit ribosomal RNA
Source: RNAcentral